UGAAUACGAGAUGCUACGGCGUCGAAGCAGUCUAUGUCAUACUUCCAAGAAAAGCUUGCACUGUCAUAAACAAAUAAUGCCUGUACCAUAACCGACACAGGUGGGUAGGUAGAGUAUACUAAGGGGCGCGAGAUAACUCUCUCUAAGGAACUCGGCAAAAUGACUCCGUAACUUCGGGAGAAGGAGUGCCUUAUUUUAUAAGGUUGCAAUAACAAGAUCCAAGCAACUGUUUACCAAAAACACAGGUCUCCGCUAAGUCGUAAGACGAUGUAUGGGGGCUGACGCCUGCCCAGUGCCAGAAGGUUAAAGAAGUUGGUUAGCAUCCGCGAAGCUGAUAACUGAAGCCCUGGUGAACGGCGGCCGUAACUAUAACGGUCCUAAGGUAGCGAAAUUCCUUGUCGGGUAAGUUCCGACCCGCACGAAAGGCGUAAUGAUUUGGAUACUGUCUCAGAGAGGGGCUCGGUGAAAUAGACUUGUCUGUGAAGAUGCGGACUACCUGCACCAGGACAGAAAGACCCUAUGAAGCUUUACUGUAACUUGAAAUUGAAAUUGGACUUUGCUUGCGCAGUAUAGGUGGGAGGCGUUGAGAAUAUUCUUGCGGGAAUGUUGGAGCCAUCAGUGAGAUACCACUCUUGUAAUGUUAGAUUUCUAACUUUGUAUCAUUAUCUGGUCAAAGGACAGUUUCAGGCGGGCAGUUUGACUGGGGCGGUCGCCUCCCAAACGGUAACGGAGGCGCACAAAGGUUUCCUCUGAACGGGUAGAAAUCGUAUCUAGAGUGUAAGGGCAUAAGGAAGCUUGACUGUGAGACCUACAAGUCGAGCAGGGACGAAAGUCGGUCUUAGUGAUCUGACGGUGCUGAGUGGAAAGGCCGUCACUCAACGGAUAAAAGUUACUCUAGGAUAAUAGGCUGAUCUCCCCCAAGAGUUCACAUCGACGGGGAGGUUUGGCACCUCGAUGUCGGCUCAUCGCAUCCUGGGGCGGUAGUACGUCCCAAGGGUUGGGCUGUUCGCCCAUGAAAGCGGUACGCGAGCUGGGUUCAGAACGUCGUGAGACAGUUCGGUCCAUAUCCGGUGUAGGCGUUAGAAUAUUGAGAGGAGCCUUCUUUAGUACGAGAGGACCGAGAAGGACAUACCUCUGGUGUACCAGUUAUCGUGCCAACGGUAAACGCUGGGUAGCUAUGUAUGGAGUGGAUAACCGCUGAAAGCAUCUAAGAGGGAAGCCCACCUCAAGAUAAG
Molecule: ribosomal RNA, 1235 nt
Filed under: metagenome
Description: bacterial LSU rRNA
Rfam family: Bacterial large subunit ribosomal RNA
Source: RNAcentral